RNAcentral lists this long non-coding RNA (317 nucleotides) under Struthio camelus australis. RNAcentral describes it as "lncRNA (ENSSCUG00000016171.1)". Lineage: Eukaryota; Metazoa; Chordata; Aves; Struthioniformes; Struthionidae. The record is from RNAcentral.
CGACUGGCUUUGCACUGACGGCGGGUUCACCAGGGUGGUAUCCAUCUGGCAUGUCUGGGAGGCACCGCUGUCCUUUGGUCAUCUGUUACCGCAUGAGACUGAAGUGCUCACGCUGGCGCUGUUACCAUGGGUGAAGAUGGACGUUUCGGGAUACUUCAGGAAAUAAACUCUUGUUGCUGCCUGCAUCGUUGAAACAUAAGAGGUUUUCCGUAGUUGCCUUGCGACCUUUGCUCUCUUCAUCAGUUCUCAGCGAUACUGUGAGUAUCAAGCUUUUCAUACUGGGUUGCCCAGAAGACCCAAUAGAGGUUGUGCACGGU